ACGAANKUYUGACCGAGNCANCGCCGCGUGAGUGAAGAAGGUUUUCGGAUCGUAAAACUCUGUUGUUAGAGAAGAACAAGGACGUUAGUAACUGAACGUCCCCUGACGGUAUCUAACCAGAAAGCCACGGCUAACUACGUGCCAGCAGCCGCGGUAAUACGUAGGUGGCAANMNWNNNCCGGAUUUAUUGGGCGUAAAGCGAGCGCAGGCGGUUUYUUNAGUCUGAUGUGAAAGCCCCCGGCUCAACCGGGGAGGGUCAUUGGAAACUGGGAGACUUGAGUGCAGAAGAGGAGAGUGGAAUUCCAUGUGUAGCGGUGAAAUGCGUAGAUAUAUGGAGGAACACC
Molecule: ribosomal RNA, 344 nt
Filed under: uncultured bacterium
Lineage: Bacteria
Description: partial 16S ribosomal RNA
Rfam family: Bacterial small subunit ribosomal RNA
Source: RNAcentral